CGCGGGAUAGAGCAGCUCGGUAGCUCGUCGGGCUCAUAACCCGAAGGUCGUCGGUUCAAAUCCGGCUCCCGCAACCA
RNAcentral lists this transfer RNA (77 nucleotides) under Ruminococcus bromii. RNAcentral describes it as "tRNA-Met". It matches the Rfam family "tRNA". From Rfam's summary of the family: Transfer RNA (tRNA) molecules are approximately 80 nucleotides in length. RNAcentral also lists the same sequence under 26 other names. The record is from RNAcentral. Lineage: Bacteria; Bacillati; Bacillota; Clostridia; Eubacteriales; Oscillospiraceae.